This is a long non-coding RNA of Oncorhynchus gorbuscha (pink salmon), 686 nucleotides long. RefSeq lists it as uncharacterized. The record is from RefSeq and is a predicted model, not a curated record. Lineage: Eukaryota; Metazoa; Chordata; Actinopteri; Salmoniformes; Salmonidae. The transcript has 2 exons.
UGGUGGCAAAAUGGCAGAACAUUUUUACUUUAGGGGAUCUAGGGACUUCAUUCUGGCUUCUGACACUUUUGGACCUCCCCUACAGAUUUAGAAUGAGUUACAGUCACACAUUCCAAGGUGAAAGAGGAAAAGAUAAGGUUGAGGAGUACUCUUCACAAACCCUCUGCAAAAUGGCAAUGGCAAAGCUGCAAUGGCCAAUGGCCUUACUUGUUAGACUCCAGCAUUGUCCCAGAGGAGGAUCCCUGUUCCGUACGAUCCAACAUUCCUGAAUGCAUCUCACACCUCUCUUCUGGUUGUCAAAGACACUAAACCGACCUGAGCUUCCCAUUUCACUGUCACCGUGCUCAACGGCUCAGAUGGGAAAAUAGUUCCAUUGCUCCUCAAGAGCACAGACACCAUCGGCAAACUUCAGAGGAGGUUCCUACAGAAGCGGCCUGACUUGACGGGAAGCCUGAACCUCGCCUACAACGGCAAGCCCGUCCAGGGGCACCAGAGCCUGGGAGAGCUGGGGGUGAAGAAUGGGGCUAUAUUCAUCACUUUUCAGAGGUGUUUUGGAGGGUAGAUGUGGAGUAAAAGUGCAGCAAUAGAUGUGAAGGAGGGCUGUUUCCAUUGAUCUUUCCCUUCUCAUGCAAUAUGAACAAUAUCUGUCAAUUAAUUUGUGAUCUAUAAAGAAUAUUUGCAUCAGC